UACAGAGGUGGCAAGCGUUGUUCGGAAUUACUGGGCGUAAAGGGCGCGUAGGCGGCCGCCUAAGUCAGACGUGAAAUCCCCAGGCUUAACUUGGGAACUGCGUCUGAUACUGGGUGGCUUGAGUUCGGGAGAGGAAUGUGGAAUUCCAGGUGUAGCGGUGAAAUGCGUAGAUAUCUGGAGGAACACCGGUGGCGAAGGCGGCAUCCUGGACCGGCAUUGACGCUGAGGCGCGAAAGCUAGGGGAGCAAACGGG
RNAcentral lists this ribosomal RNA (253 nucleotides) under uncultured bacterium. Its description in RNAcentral is "partial 16S ribosomal RNA". It matches the Rfam family "Bacterial small subunit ribosomal RNA", at positions 524 to 776 of the family's 1533-position model. The record is from RNAcentral.